CAUUAGUGAAAUUUGGGCGUCUCUUCCACAGAGAGCCCGUCUUCCACAUUUAACCCUGUGCACUUGGCGCUAGUCUCGUGCGCUUGUCAGUCGGGCUCAGUUUCCUUUGGAAGCCGGGCCGGCGAAAACCUUUUUUAACGCAAGUUGAUGAAUGUAACAUAAAAACUAAACCAAAUAAAACUUUUAACAACGGAUCUCUUGGCUCUCACAUCGAUGAAGAACGCAGCGAAAUGUGAUAAGUAAUGUGAAUUGCAGAAUUCAGUGAAUCAUCGAAUCUUUGAACGCACCUUGCGCUCCCUGGUAUUCCGGGGAGCAUGUCUGUUUGAGUGUUAUGAAAUCUUCAACCCACCUGUUUCUUGUCAACAGAGUGGUGCUUUGGAUCAUGGGCGUCUUUGCUGGCCCCCAAGCUGGGGUUGGCUCGCCUGGAAUGCAUGAGCAGCAUCGUACCUCGACAUCUGGCUUGACUUGGCGUGAUAGGUUAUUUCGCUGGGGACAACACUUCGGGUGUUGGCCGAGUCGUGGAAAGAGGGCUACCAAUGAAACGUACUCUAAAUAUUUGACCUCAAAUCAGAUAGGACUACCC
Molecule: ribosomal RNA, 583 nt
Filed under: uncultured Basidiomycota
Lineage: Eukaryota; Fungi; Basidiomycota
Description: eukaryotic LSU rRNA
Rfam family: 5.8S ribosomal RNA (bases 179-332)
Source: RNAcentral